Molecule: long non-coding RNA, 452 nt
Filed under: Jatropha curcas
Lineage: Eukaryota; Viridiplantae; Streptophyta; Magnoliopsida; Malpighiales; Euphorbiaceae
Description: long non-coding RNA (JCUR_LNC002197)
Source: RNAcentral
UACUUUAUCUCUUACUAAGAAUCACAAUUUACUUUUCUUAUAACCACAAUAAUUUAUAUUAUUUCCUAUAUUCACACACCAAAAGAAAUAGUUGCUGAAUACAACAAUACACUUUACUCUACCAAGCAGUCAUUACUCAUAAAUAAACUCACUUCAUAUAGUAAUUCCACCAAUAUUAUUCAUUAUGAGAAAUACUCAUCACCAAUUAUUAUAGCAAUUCACACCAAAUCCUUCAAUAUUCAAAUCUUAUAAAAAUCAUGUAUAUCCAUUCCAUCAAGAAAAAUAUUUAUCUUAAUAAUUAUAAGAAAUUCUACUAACCAACAUCAUGUAAAUUUCAUCAAAUACAUAUACUAAUUCAAUACUCUAGUUAAAUGGAUUCUAAUGUCCUCAAAUUCAAAUCAUUUAGUUCUCUUAUUAAAUAAUUAGCAACUCAUUCUCAAUUCCGCAGGCAC